GAAUUUCUUCAGGAAUGAGCAGAGUAUCCCUACGCUUCCAACCAAAGCAUAGAGGAUUUUAGUGGUGAUUCAAGUACACAGAACGCAUGAUUAUGAUAAAUUAUAAUUACUUUAACAAAAAAAUAGUAUGAUAGCCUAUUGAAAUGAAACUUGAUUGGUUUUUUUCAUAUUGUUGGUUAAUCUAGCAUAAUAUUAAAGUUUUUAUUUGUGUUGUUAAUUUUUAAAUUGCGAUAAAUA
This 237-nucleotide unclassified non-coding RNA is filed under the name Hevea brasiliensis (rubber tree). Lineage: Eukaryota; Viridiplantae; Streptophyta; Magnoliopsida; Malpighiales; Euphorbiaceae. The record is from RNAcentral.